UACAGAGGUCUCAAGCGUUGUUCGGAUUCAUUGGGCGUAAAGGGUGUGUAGGUGGCGCCGUAAGUCGGGUGUGAAAUUUCGGAGCUUAACUCCGAAACUGCAUUCGAUACUGCGGUGCUUGAGGGCUGGAGAGGAGACUGGAAUUCAUGGUGUAGCAGUGAAAUGCGUAGAGAUCAUGAGGAAGACCAGUGGCGAAGGCGGGUCUCUGGGCCGAUACUGACGCUGAGACGCGAAAGCGUGGGGAGCGAACAGG
RNAcentral lists this ribosomal RNA (253 nucleotides) under uncultured bacterium. Its description in RNAcentral is "partial 16S ribosomal RNA". It matches the Rfam family "Bacterial small subunit ribosomal RNA", at positions 524 to 776 of the family's 1533-position model. The record is from RNAcentral.